UGGCCCCAUAGUUCAAUGGAUAGAACAAAUCUCUCCUAAAGAUUAGAUUCGGGUUCGAUUCCCGAUGGAGCUAC
This 74-nucleotide transfer RNA is filed under the name Bacteroidaceae bacterium. RNAcentral describes it as "tRNA-Arg". It matches the Rfam family "tRNA". From Rfam's summary of the family: Transfer RNA (tRNA) molecules are approximately 80 nucleotides in length. Their secondary structure includes four short double-helical elements and three loops (D, anti-codon, and T loops). Lineage: Bacteria; Pseudomonadati; Bacteroidota; Bacteroidia; Bacteroidales; Bacteroidaceae. The record is from RNAcentral.